GAUACGUCUCCAACGUAUCUAUAAUUUUUUAUGGUUCCAUGCUAUUAUCUUGUCAACUUUGGAUGUUUUAUAUGCAUGAAUAUGAUAUUUUAUAUCUUUUUUGGGACUAACCUAUUAACUCAGUGCCAAGUGCCAGUUUCUGUUUUUUUCGUGUUUUUGGCCCAUUUUCAAACGGAGUCCAAAUGGAAUGAAACUUCACGAUGAUUUUUUGGACCAAAACAGACCCCCG
This 229-nucleotide long non-coding RNA is filed under the name Hordeum vulgare. RNAcentral describes it as "long non-coding RNA (HVUL_LNC003648)". Lineage: Eukaryota; Viridiplantae; Streptophyta; Magnoliopsida; Poales; Poaceae. The record is from RNAcentral.